RNAcentral lists this unclassified non-coding RNA (285 nucleotides) under fungal sp. Its description in RNAcentral is "partial internal transcribed spacer region". The stretch from base 1 to 46 matches the Rfam family "Eukaryotic small subunit ribosomal RNA", at positions 1786 to 1831 of the family's 1831-position model. Lineage: Eukaryota; Fungi. The record is from RNAcentral.
AAGUCGUAACAAGGUUUCCGUAGGUGAACCUGCGGAAGGAUCAUUAACACAAUUUUACUGUGAUAAAUCCGUUGAAUUCUCGAAUUCAAUGGUAUCCACCCCAUUAUUGACGAACUUUUCUAGAUGUUAAAACAUAGAGCUAGUCUUUAUGUUUUUAACAUUCUAAACCUUUUUCUCUAUCCACACAAAUUUAAACCCCUUUUACAACAUGAAUUAGACUGAAAUGAAAAUUUUCUAUCAAAAAAUUGAUAAAAACAACUUUUAACAACGGAUAUCUUGGCUCUC